RNAcentral lists this ribosomal RNA (468 nucleotides) under uncultured bacterium. RNAcentral describes it as "partial 16S ribosomal RNA". It matches the Rfam family "Bacterial small subunit ribosomal RNA", at positions 28 to 507 of the family's 1533-position model. The record is from RNAcentral.
GACGAACGCUGGCGGCGUGCUUAACACAUGCAAGUCGAACGGAAAGGCCCUGCUUUUGUGGGGUGCUCGAGUGGCGAACGGGUGAGUAACACGUGAGUAACCUGCCCUUGACUUUGGGAUAACUUCAGGAAACUGGGGCUAAAACCGGAUAGGAGCUCCUGCUGCAUGGUGGGGGUUGGAAAGUUUCGGCGGUUGGGGAUGGACUCGCGGCUUAUCAGCUUGUUGGUGGGGUAGUGGCUUACCAAGGCUUUGACGGGUAGCCGGCCUGAGAGGGUGACCGGCCACAUUGGGACUGAGAUACGGCCCAGACUCCUACGGGAGGCAGCAGUGGGGAAUAUUGCACAAUGGGCGGAAGCCUGAUGCAGCAACGCCGCGUGCGGGAUGACGGCCCUCGGGUUGUAAACCGCUUUCGCCUGUGACGAAGCGUGAGUGACGGUAAUGGGUAAAGAAGCACCGGCUAACUACGUG